GCUGUUAGAACUGUUCAGGAUGUGGCCAGUGGCGUAGCUAGAAAUGACUGGGCCCCACAGCAAAUUUUGAAUGGGGCCCCCCUCCCCCAGUAAUUUCUUCACAACCCCUUCCUUUUAUGCCGUCCCCAUUCCUGUGGCUAGUAAAGAUUGCUCUCUCAGACCAGGGCCGGCAGCUGUUCCAUCUGUUUUAUACACUGUCUAUACUGCCACUGUAUAUAAUUUUAUUGUGUAAU
Molecule: long non-coding RNA, 233 nt
Organism: Bufo bufo (common toad)
Lineage: Eukaryota; Metazoa; Chordata; Amphibia; Anura; Bufonidae
Exons: 3
Source: RefSeq, a predicted model, not a curated record